This 386-nucleotide unclassified non-coding RNA is filed under the name uncultured fungus. RNAcentral describes it as "partial contains small subunit ribosomal RNA, internal transcribed spacer 1, and 5.8S ribosomal RNA". The stretch from base 1 to 73 matches the Rfam family "Eukaryotic small subunit ribosomal RNA", at positions 1759 to 1831 of the family's 1831-position model. Lineage: Eukaryota; Fungi. The record is from RNAcentral.
GCAAACUUGGUCAUUUAGAGGAAGUAAAAGUCGUAACAAGGUCAUCGUAGGUGAACCUGCGGUGGGAUCAUCAAUAAUUCAUAUAAACCACUUAUAUGGUGUGAACUAGUGCUGAAUUUGUUAACGAGGUUUCGAGUGCGUUUUCCCUAUCGUUUCGAUAGGGAAGGCAAGCUUGGGCUUCAAUAUUUCUGAGUGUCUCUUCGGAGGCGCUCAGACAACCGCACUUAACAGUGUAUUUUAUGGCCAACAACAAAUGUCUAUACGGUCAGCUCGCAAGAGAAGGCUAGACAAAAUUUAUAUGUAAACCACGCUGUCAUGGCAUGGAAUAACAAUAUAAAACUAUUAAUGGUGGAUCACUUGGCUCUCGCAUCGAUGAAGAACGCAGC